GCAUAUCCAAUAAGCGGAGGAAAAGAAACCAACAGGGAUUGCCUCAGUUAACGGCGUAAGUGAAGCGGCAACAGCUCAAAUUUGAAAUCUGGCGCAAGCCCGAGUUGUAAUUUGUAGAGGAUGUUUCGGGUGAAGCCACGGUCCAAGUCCCUUGGAACAGGACGUCAUAGAGGGUGAGAACCCCGUACCUGGCCGUCGGUGCCCCCCGCUGUGAAACUCCUUCGACGAGUCGAGUUGUUUGGGAAUGCAGCUCUAAAUUGGUGGUAAAUUCCAUCUAAAGCUAAAUACCGGCCAGAGACCGAUAGCGCACAAGUAGAGUGAUCGAAAGAUGAAAAGCACUUUGAAAAGAGAGUUAAAAAGUACGUGAAAUUGUUGAAAGGGAAGCGCUUGCGGCCAGACUUGCCCGCGGUUGCUCAGCCCGCCUUUUGGCGGGUGCACUCUUCCGCGGUCAGGCCAGCAUCGGUUUGGGCGGUCGGAUAAAGGCGUUGGGAACGUGGCCUCCCCUCGGGGAGGUGUUAUAGCCCGGCGCGCAAUGCGACCAGCCCGGACCGAGGUUCGCGCUUUGCUAGGAUGCUGGCGUAAUGGCCGUAAGCGGCCCGUCUUGAAACACGGACCAAGGAGUCUAACAUCUAUGCGAGUGUUUGGGUGUCAAACCCGUGCGCGUAAUGAAAGUGAACGGAGGUGGGAACCGCAAGGUGCACCAUCGACCGAUCCUGAUGUCUUCGGAAGGAUUUGAGUAAGAGCAUAGCUGUUGGGACCCGAAAGAUGGUGAACUAUGCGUGAAUAGGGUGAAGCCAGAGGAAAACUCUGGUGGAGGCUCGCAGCGGUUUCUGACGUGCAAAUCGAUUCGUCAAAUUUGCGUAUAGGGGGCGAAAAGACUAAYCGAACCAUUUAGUAGCUGGUUUCCUGCCGA
RNAcentral lists this ribosomal RNA (913 nucleotides) under Venturia lonicerae. RNAcentral's name for it is "LSU rRNA". It matches the Rfam family "Eukaryotic large subunit ribosomal RNA", at positions 38 to 964 of the family's 3401-position model. The record is from RNAcentral. Lineage: Eukaryota; Fungi; Ascomycota; Dothideomycetes; Venturiales; Venturiaceae.